UACGUAGGGUGCAAGCGUUGUCCGGAAUUAUUGGGCGUAAAGAGCUCGUAGGCGGUUUGUCGCGUCGGCUGUGAAAACCUAGGGCUCAACUCUGGGCUUGCAGCCGAUACGGGCAAACUAGAAUUCGGUAGGGGAGACUGAAAUUCCUGGUGUAGCGGUGAAAUGCGCAGAUAUCAGGAGGAACACCGGUGGCGAAGGCGGGUCUCUGGGCCGAUAUUGACGCUGAGGAGCGAAAGCGUGGGGAGCAAGCAGG
Molecule: ribosomal RNA, 253 nt
Filed under: uncultured bacterium
Lineage: Bacteria
Description: partial 16S ribosomal RNA
Rfam family: Bacterial small subunit ribosomal RNA
Source: RNAcentral